AUUUAUAUAUGAAUGUAUCAAUAACAUUCUGAAUUAGACAUGUUUUUUUUUUUUUUCUUCUAGCGCUCAUGACAGAUGUUGCGAAAGGAGCGAGACCUCUCGCCUCUUUCUCAUCUCCGUUGCGAGCUGCACAUGCUCAGUGACGACAGGGGAGUGGCGGUGCGACGUUUGUUCUUUCAGGAGUGGAGUCCAUGGACGACUAUGUCUGGAAUCAGCACCUUUGAAUUCCAGACAAUCCAAGAUCCAAGAUGUCAUCCGACACCUUAAAGACUCAGCUCGUUUGGACCAGACUUUAUUAUCCAGAUGGGCCAAAUAAAGGACAAUGAUGAGGAGCUGACCCUGUGACUGAUAACAGAUGAUACUGCUACUGUCAUGACUUGGAGAUGAAAGACUUGUAAAAGCUUGCAUCUGCUGCUGUGUGUGAACACCUUUAACAAUAACCUGAUCCCGCAUGAGCAUUAAAAGGCGGACUGCUGUCAUGAUGACUGGGCCACGUUUUCUGGGUCUAUCAAGGCCCCGCUGCUUUAAGUGUGAUCUCCGGCAGGCAUUUCAACUAUGACUGUGCGGGAGCGCUCCGUCUGCCAAUAAAAACACUCAUGCACUGCGUCGUGCAAGCGGAGAAUUAAUCAUUCUUGCAUGUUUCGGGGCUAUAUUUAGUACGUUAUCACACUACUAGAUCAUUACCUUUUUUGGCUGAGUAUGAGGACAUUUUGUGCAAGUGUAAUGCUACUACAGCUUCAGUGAGUGUGCCCAACUUAAAGCUUAAAGUCAGCACGCUCUCUUUCAUUAACUGUUUGAAAGUCGUCUGUUUUUCCGCAUCGCUCACCACACGCUUUAGCACGGGGGAAACUAAUGAAGAACUAGACACUACAGUAUGAAACAUGGCACCAAAUCAAAGCGAAC
Molecule: long non-coding RNA, 903 nt
Filed under: Sparus aurata (gilthead seabream)
Lineage: Eukaryota; Metazoa; Chordata; Actinopteri; Spariformes; Sparidae
Description: lncRNA (ENSSAUG00010026159.1)
Source: RNAcentral